RNAcentral lists this RNase P RNA (366 nucleotides) under bovine gut metagenome. RNAcentral's name for it is "Bacterial RNase P class A". It matches the Rfam family "Bacterial RNase P class A". Rfam says of the family: Ribonuclease P (RNase P) is a ubiquitous endoribonuclease, found in archaea, bacteria and eukarya as well as chloroplasts and mitochondria. Its best characterised activity is the generation of mature 5'-ends of tRNAs by cleaving the 5'-leader elements of precursor-tRNAs. The record is from RNAcentral.
AGCAGACUGUGCAGCCGCGGCAGCGCUUUCAUAGCUGACGAGGAAAGUCCGGGCAUCACAGAGCAGGGUAGCUGCUAACGGCAGCCGGAGGCGACUCCAGGGCCAGUGCAACAGAAAUGAGACUGCCCCGUAUCGUCAGAUGCGGAGCGAUGGUGGAAAGGCGGGGUAAGAGCCCGCCAGAGCAUAUGAGAAUAUGCUGCUGUGUAAACCCUACCUGAUGCAACGCUGAUUGGUGCAUAUGUCCGCAACGCCUGCUCGGCGGGACAUAUGCAAAGGCGGCUUGAGCGGCGCGGCGACGCUCCGCCUAGAUAAAUGGCUGUACGAUGUGCAUUCCGCACAGGACAAAACCCGGCUUACAGGUCUGGU